ACUCAAUAGAUACCCUGGUAGUCCUGGCCCUAAACGAUGUCUACUAGAUCGUGGCGGCACUGACGCCGUCAUGGUCGAGGCAAAAGUGUUAAGUAGACCGCCUGGGAAGUACGGUCGCAAGGCUAAAACUCAAAGAAAUUGACGGGGGCUCACACAAGCGGUGGAGCAUGUGGUUCAAUUCGAAGCAACGCGAAGAACCUUACCUGGGCUUGACAUGCUAGGAUUAUCUUGAUGAAAGUCGAGUAGGCCCCGCAAGGGGUACAACUAGUACAGGUGCUGCAUGGCUGUCGUCAGCUCGUGUCGUGAGAUGUCGGGUUAAGUCCCUUAACGAGCGAAACCUUUGCCCUUAGUUGCCAUCGGGUUAUGCCGGGCACUCUAAGGGGACUGCCGGUGUCAAACCGGAGGAAGGUGGAGAUGACGUCAAGUCCUCAUGGCCUUUAUGCCCAGGGCUACACACGUGCUACAAUGGCGUCCACAAAGCGAGCCGAGAGCGCAAGCUGGAGGAAAUCGCAGAAAUGACG
Molecule: ribosomal RNA, 521 nt
Filed under: uncultured bacterium
Lineage: Bacteria
Description: bacterial SSU rRNA
Rfam family: Bacterial small subunit ribosomal RNA
Source: RNAcentral